RNAcentral lists this long non-coding RNA (289 nucleotides) under Brassica napus (rape). RNAcentral describes it as "long non-coding RNA (BNAP_LNC025141)". The record is from RNAcentral. Lineage: Eukaryota; Viridiplantae; Streptophyta; Magnoliopsida; Brassicales; Brassicaceae.
UCGGAGAUUGUGUCGCGGACUAUGUCGAGGAAUCUUGGGCAGGACUUUGAGUAGAAGUCGGUGGUCAGGCGAGAGUCGACGGUGGUGGUGAGUAGAGUGAGGAGGAGGAGAAGGAGGGAGAGGGAGGAGAGAGGUUUGAGUGGCGACUGUUCCCCCAUUGUUGUAGAGAGAGAGAGAGUAAUGAGACUUUAGUGGAGCUAGAGAGAGAGAUGGGCUUGUGAUUAUAUUGGAAGGAAGAAGAUGAAGAAAGUGAGAGUGAGAGUGAAGGCCACGCGCCGAUGUGAAGCAC